This 586-nucleotide ribosomal RNA is filed under the name uncultured bacterium. Its description in RNAcentral is "bacterial SSU rRNA". It matches the Rfam family "Bacterial small subunit ribosomal RNA", at positions 26 to 585 of the family's 1533-position model. The record is from RNAcentral.
AGAACGAACGCUGGCGGCGUGCUUAACACAUGCAAGUCGUACGAGAAACCGGAACUUCGGUUCCGGGAGUAAAGUGGCGCACGGGUGAGUAACGCGUAGGUAAUCUACCCUUGGGUUUGGAAUAACCCGCCGAAAGGCGGACUAAUACCGGAUAAAAUCUUUCGGAGGGAUCUGAAAGAUCAAAGGUGGCCUCUCCAUGGAUGCUACUGCCUAAGGAUGAGCCUGCGUCCCAUUAGCUUGUUGGUAGGGUAAUGGCCUACCAAGGCUACGAUGGGUAGCUGGUCUGAGAGGAUGACCAGCCACACUGGAACUGGAACACGGUCCAGACUCCUACGGGAGGCAGCAGUGAGGAAUAUUGCGCAAUGGGGGAAACCCUGACGCAGCGACGCCGCGUGGGUGAAGAAGGCCUUCGGGUCGUAAAGCCCUGUCUAGAGGGAAGAAAUUCUCAAUGGAAUAAUACCCAUUGAGAUUGACGGUACCUCUGGAGGAAGCACCGGCUAACUCCGUGCCAGCAGCCGCGGUAAUACGGAGGGUGCGAGCGUUGUUCGGAAUUACUGGGCGUAAAGCGGGUGUACGCGGUUUGUUA